RNAcentral lists this ribosomal RNA (253 nucleotides) under uncultured bacterium. RNAcentral's name for it is "partial 16S ribosomal RNA". It matches the Rfam family "Bacterial small subunit ribosomal RNA", at positions 524 to 776 of the family's 1533-position model. The record is from RNAcentral.
UACAGAGGUCUCAAGCGUUGUUCGGAUUCAUUGGGCGUAAAGGGUGUGUAGGUGGCGCGCUAAGUCGGGUGUGAAAUUUCGGAGCUUAACUCCGAAACUGCAUUCGAUACUGGCGUGCUUGAGGACUGGAGAGGAGACUGGAAUUCAUGGUGUAGCAGUGAAAUGCGUAGAGAUCACGAGGAAGACCAGUGGCGAAGGCGGGUCUCUGGACAGUUCCUGACACUGAGACACGAAGGCCAGGGGAGCAAACGGG